RNAcentral lists this ribosomal RNA (253 nucleotides) under uncultured bacterium. RNAcentral describes it as "partial 16S ribosomal RNA". It matches the Rfam family "Bacterial small subunit ribosomal RNA", at positions 524 to 776 of the family's 1533-position model. The record is from RNAcentral.
UACAGAGGUCCCGAGCGUUGUUCGGAUUCAUUGGGCGUAAAGGGUGCGUAGGCGGCGGGGCAAGUCUGAUGUGAAAUCCCGGGGCUCAACCCCGGAACUGCAUUGGAUACUGCCUUGCUCGAGUACUGGAGAGGGAACUGGAAUUUACGGUGUAGCAGUGAAAUGCGUAGAGAUCGUAAGGAAGGCCGGUGGCGAAGGCGAGUUCCUGGACAGUGACUGACGCUGAGGCACGAAGGCCAGGGGAGCAAACGGG